Molecule: non-coding RNA, 74 nt
Organism: Proteus penneri ATCC 35198
Lineage: Bacteria; Pseudomonadati; Pseudomonadota; Gammaproteobacteria; Enterobacterales; Morganellaceae
Source: Rfam
CGCGGGAUGGAGCAGCAUGGUAGCUCGUCGGGCUCAUAACCCGAAGGUCGUUGGUUCAAAUCCAGCUCCCGCAA